This is a small nuclear RNA of Myotis myotis, 107 nucleotides long. Lineage: Eukaryota; Metazoa; Chordata; Mammalia; Chiroptera; Vespertilionidae. The record is from RefSeq and is a predicted model, not a curated record.
GUGCUCACUUCAGCAGCACAUAUACUAAAACUGGAAUGAUACAGAGAAGAUUAGCAUGGCCCCUGUGCAAGGAUGAUGUGAAAAUUCUUGAAGGGUUCCAUAUUUAA